This is a ribosomal RNA of Lupinus angustifolius (narrow-leaved blue lupine), 480 nucleotides long. It matches the Rfam family "Bacterial small subunit ribosomal RNA". NCBI's taxonomy places the organism in Eukaryota, Viridiplantae, Streptophyta, Magnoliopsida, Fabales, Fabaceae. The record is from Rfam.
GGUGAAAAGUGUAUACUUUUUGCACUUAUCAGAUAUAUAUUCUCUAGUAGAGUCCCAUCCAAGAAAGAGGGAACUACUAUCUAUAUCACCCCAUCUUUAGCUAAGAGAGAGGAGGUCAAGUACUAAGGCUAAUCAAUAAUGAUAGUUGAAGGAAGACGAAAACAUAAGCAUCGACUAACUCUGUGUCAGCAACCGCGGUAAGACUGAGCAUGCAAAUGUUAUCCGGAAUGAUUGGGUGUAAAGUAUCUAUGGGUGGCUUUUUAAGUUCGCCAUCAAAUCCUAGGGCUCAACCCCAGAAGGCGGUGGAAACUACCAAGCUGGAGUAGGAUACGGGAAGAGGGAAUUUCCGAUGGAGCAGUGAAAUGCGUAGAGAUUGGAAAGAACACCAACGGUGAAAGCACUCUGCUAGGCCGAUAAACCCUAAACCCCCAAACAACCCCCCUAAACCCCUAAACCCUAACGAACAAGAUGAUUUUUUAU